CAGCCAAGGAAGACUUGCCC
This 20-nucleotide microRNA is filed under the name Populus trichocarpa (black cottonwood). Its description in RNAcentral is "ptc-miR169ab". Its record names the gene ptc-miR169ab. The record is from miRBase by way of RNAcentral. Lineage: Eukaryota; Viridiplantae; Streptophyta; Magnoliopsida; Malpighiales; Salicaceae.